Molecule: RNA transcript, 728 nt
Organism: Mastomys coucha (southern multimammate mouse)
Lineage: Eukaryota; Metazoa; Chordata; Mammalia; Rodentia; Muridae
Gene name: 60 kDa heat shock protein, mitochondrial pseudogene
Exons: 1
Source: RefSeq, a predicted model, not a curated record
CGGAAAAGCUUCGACUACCCACAGUCCUUCGCCAGAUGAGACCAGUGUCCCGGGCACUGGCUCCUCAUCUCACUCGGGCCUAUGCCAAAGAUGUAAAAUUUGGGGCGGAUGCUCGAGCCUUAAUGCUUCAAGGUGUAGACCUUUUAGCCAAUGCUGUAGCUGUUACAAUGGGGCCAAAGGGAAGAACAGUGAUUAUUGAAGAGAUUUGGGGAAGUCCCAAAGUAACAAAAGAUGGGGUCACUGUUGCAAAGUCAAUUGAUUUAAAGGACAAAUACAAAAAUAUCGAAGCUAAACUUGUUCAGGAUGUUGUCAAUAACACCAACGAAGAGGCUGGGGAUGGCACCACCACUGCCACUGUUCUGGCCCGCUCUAUUACCAAGGAGGGCUUUGAGAAGAUCAGCAAGGGGGCUAACCCAGUGGAAAUCUGCAGAGGUGUGAUGUUGGCCAUUGAUGCUGUAAUUGCUGAACUUAAGAAACAAUCUAAACCUGUGACAACCCCUGAAGAAAUUGCUCAGGUUGCUACAAUCUCUACAAAUGGAGACAAAGACAUUGGGAACAUCAUUUCUGAUGCAAUGAAAAGGGUUGGAAGAAAGGGUGUCAUCACAGUGGAGGAUGGAAAACCCUGAAUGAUGAGCUAGAAAUUAUUGAAGGCAUGAAGUUUGAUAAAGGAUAUAUUUCCCCAUAUUUUAUUAACACAUCAAAAGGUCAAAAGUGUGAAUUCCAAGAUG